GAUGAAGAACGCAGCGAAAUGCGAUAAGUAAUGUGAAUUGCAGAAUUCAGUGAAUCAUCGAAUCUUUGAACGCACAUUGCGCACGCCAGUAUUCUGGCGGGCAUGCCUGUCUGAGCGUCAUUUCAACCCUCAUGCCCCUAGGGCGUGGUGUUGGGGAUCGGCCAAAGCCCGCGAGGGACGGCCGGCCCCUAAAUCUAGUGGCGGACCCGUCGUGGCCUCCUCUGCGAAGUAGUGAUAUUCCGCAUCGGAGAGCGAUGAGCCCCUGCCGUUAAACCCCCAACUUUCCAAGGUUGACCUCAGAUCAGGUAGGAAUACCCGCUGAACUUAAGCAUAUCAAUAAGCGGAGGA
Molecule: unclassified non-coding RNA, 348 nt
Filed under: soil metagenome
Description: partial contains 5.8S ribosomal RNA, internal transcribed spacer 2, and large subunit ribosomal RNA
Rfam family: 5.8S ribosomal RNA (bases 1-120)
Source: RNAcentral